UACGUAGGUGGCAAGCGUUGUCCGGAUUUAUUGGGCGUAAAGAGCGCGUAGGCGGCCGAGUAAGUCCGACGUGAAAUCUGGAGGCUCAACCUCCAGCGGUCGUUGGAAACUACUCGGCUAGAGUCCGGAAGAGGAGAGUGGAAUUCCUGGUGUAGCGGUGAAAUGCGCAGAUAUCAGGAAGAACACCGAUGGCGAAAGCAGCUCUCUGGGACGGUACUGACGCUGAGGCGCGAAAGCGUGGGGAGCGAACAGG
RNAcentral lists this ribosomal RNA (253 nucleotides) under uncultured bacterium. RNAcentral's name for it is "partial 16S ribosomal RNA". It matches the Rfam family "Bacterial small subunit ribosomal RNA", at positions 524 to 776 of the family's 1533-position model. The record is from RNAcentral.